GACGAACGCUGGCGGCGUGCUUAACACAUGCAAGUCGAACGGAAAGGCCCUGCUUUUGUGGGUUGCUCGAGUGGCGAACGGGUGAGUAACACGGGAUUAACCUGCCCUUGCCUUUGGGAUAACUUCGGGAAACUGGGGCUAAUACCGGAUAGGAGCUCCUGCUGCAUGGUGGGGGUUGGAAAGUUUCGGCGGUUGGGGAUGGACUCGCGGCUUAUCAGCUUGUUGGUGGGGUAGUGGCUUACCAAGGCUUUGACGGGUAGCCGGCCUGAGAGGGUGACCGGCCACAUUGGGACUGAGAUACGGCCCAGACUCCUACGGGAGGCAGCAGUGGGGAAUAUUGCACAAUGGGCGGAAGCCUGAUGCAGCAACGCCGCGUGCGGGAUGACGGCCUUCGGGUUGUAAACCGCUUUCGCCUGUGACGAAGCGUGAGUGACGGUAAUGGGUAAAGAAGCACCGGCUAACUACGUG
Molecule: ribosomal RNA, 468 nt
Filed under: uncultured bacterium
Lineage: Bacteria
Description: partial 16S ribosomal RNA
Rfam family: Bacterial small subunit ribosomal RNA
Source: RNAcentral